This 532-nucleotide ribosomal RNA is filed under the name uncultured bacterium. RNAcentral's name for it is "bacterial SSU rRNA". It matches the Rfam family "Bacterial small subunit ribosomal RNA", at positions 235 to 770 of the family's 1533-position model. The record is from RNAcentral.
GCCCGAUUAGCUUGUUGGCGAGGUAACGGCUCACCAAGGCAAUGAUCGGUAGCUGGUCUGAGAGGAUGGCCAGCCACACUGGAACUGAGACACGGUCCAGACUCUCUACGGGAGGCAGCAGUGGGGAAUCUUGCGCAAUGGGCGAAAGCCUGACGCAGCGACGCCGCGUGGGGGAUGAAGCUUCUCGGAGUGUAAACCCCUUUCGACCCGGACGAAUGUCCCGCAAGGGAUUGACGGUACGGGUAUAAGAAGCCCCGGCUAACUACGUGCCAGCAGCCGCGGUAAGACGUAGGGGGCCAGCGUUGCUCGGAAAUUACUGGGGUAAAGGGUUCGUAGGCGGUGUGGCAAGUCGGGAGUGAAAUCUCUGGGCUUAACUCAGAGGCUGCUUCCGAAACUGCCGCGCUAGAGUACGGGAUAGGCGAGUGGAAUUGCAGGUGUAGCGGUGAAAUGCGUAGAUAUCUGCAGGAACACCCGUGGCGAAGGCGGCUCGCUGGACCGUAACUGACGCUGAGGAACGAAAGCUCGGGGAGCA